Molecule: long non-coding RNA, 7162 nt
Filed under: Sus scrofa (pig)
Lineage: Eukaryota; Metazoa; Chordata; Mammalia; Artiodactyla; Suidae
Description: lncRNA (ENSSSCG00030035331.1)
Source: RNAcentral
UUUUUUUUUUUUUUUUUUUUUUUUGGCUGCACCCAUGGCACACAGAAGUCCCCAGGCCAGGGAAUGAACCCGAGCCAUAACAGUAACCAUAGCAGUGGCAAUGGUAGAUCUUUAACCCACUGAUCCACCAGGGAACUCCAAGCACAUCCUAUUCUUAAGUGCCAGAACGGCCUUGGUAAUCAAGAGGGAAAUAACAAACCCAGACAGAAGAGCCAUCUUCAGAGAUUGCCAGCAACCCCAGAAUUACCCAUAAUUCUUCUAUCUGAUGGGCUUGGUCUUUUUGAUGAAAAUCAAAUAGGAUAUUACACAUUAUAACCAUAGCCUUUACUAUUAAAAUUGGAUAUACUAUACUUCACUUUUCGGGAAACACUAAGAGGAGCAAUUAUCACCCUGAAGCAUGUGUGGUACAGCAGAUAAAGACUGGACUCUUGGAUCAGAAGAUAAGUAGGGUAUCUAUUUCCACAGAGCUGCUAUUAACUUCUGUUUUUGCCCAGUGCAGAUGAGUGUACAACACUUUGUUCUCAUGUAAGGAGACUAGACAGAAUUACCCAGCAGAAUUUAAAAAACUUGGUCCAUCCAACCAAGACAUACUUUCUAGAAAAUUCUAUACCUACUCUGACCUAUGGAAAACUCCAUUUCUAUAUCCUGCCACCAAAUAGCACCCACAUGGUUUCAGUCAUCUCUCCAAGAAGGAAUGAGGAGAAGAACCCUCACUAAUCCAGUCAAUUUAAUUCCCCUUUAAUGGGAAUGAAAUCAAGAUCUCAAUAAUACAUGAUUCUGCUUUCUAGUCUUAUAUAGAAAUUACACCUUUAGCUCUAAAUCCUAGAUAGCUCUGACUAAGGGAGUGAAAAACUGAUCAAGUAAUAGAGUUGCUGUGCAGUAGGGAGCAGAAGUGGAAAGAAUAGAUUGGUGAUCAGGUGGUACAAUAAGUAAUGGGCUUGAGACUUUUUAGUAGGUCUGGCAGGGAUGCUUGACUGGGCAGGAGAGCUAUUUGUUUUGGAAAUUACUUGCAAACUGCUAACUGUACCUUAUGGAGUUAUGAGAACUGGGGACACAGUAACACUACAUUUCACAGAAUUUCAUAGCUGGAAGAAAUCUUUAAUGUCAUCUAGUCAAAUCUCCCAAGAGAUUUCUGAAAGCCCUGUAUGGACUCAAUUUACUAGAAAUAGAAUAUACUUCUGAUUUCAAAAAUUUUGUUAAAGAAAAUCCCACAGAGAUUUUUUUUUUUAAAGUAACCACUAUCAUUCUAAUUAUUACUUCACAACCUUGGGAAAGUUACUUCAUGUAUGUAAGCCUUUGCUCAAAACAUGACUUUGGGCAAGUCACUUCACUUCUCUGGAUAUAAGUGUCCUUAUCUACAAAUACCAACUCCUGCUCCAUGUUGCAUGCCCCUCGGGGUGGAUAAUGGGCUCAAGAAGAUGACAGUAGUGGAAGUGUCCUGGUAACUGUAAGGAAUGGUGUAGUUUUUAAAACAUAAGAAGAGUUGCUACCAGCUCCUACAUUCCCUUGCCAGUGACCCCUCAUGCCAAGUAAGAUGCAAAUGUUUCUAUUAAGGUUUCUCCCCAUUGCCUGUAGUUCUCCCCCAUAGAGUUACCCACAGAUGGGUCCCUACAAGAACAUUCUCCAAGGGCUCCUGUGUCUUCUCACGAAAGACAAGGAAUGGGCCUGUGCCCAUCGCAGUGUCUGCGAGGGAACGAGCCACACGCACACAGGGAGGCUUUCAGUGGGAACAGCUGCAGUCUCUUGCUUGUCCUACAUCCUCAACUACCAGCGCCACUUGUCCGUGGGCCUCUAGCAGCUAUCAGAGUGGUGAACCUAAGGAGCACAGCAGCAGCAAACCACACAGAGGACCCUCAUAGUCUUAGGUUUCAGUCACAGCAGAACCUCAUAAUGGCACAGAUUGUUGUUCAUUCUAACGGGCAUUUAUGAAGUGUCUGUUAUGAGUCAGGUCCUGCCCUUGCCACCGAGGGUAAGAGAUGAGUCAGAUGUGCUGUCUGCUCUCGAGACCUCACAGUUUAGUGAGAGAAACAGACUCAUGAGUGUCAUAUACUGGAUGUGUUAUGACCAAAGGCUACACAGUGUUUGGGCACAGCUGAUGGAUGGCUUAAGUCUGUCUGGGGGCUCAGGGUGGGCUUCUCAGAGGAGAUAAGAUUUCAGUGUUACCUUAACAGGGGUUUAGAAAUUCCCUGAGGUGGAAAAUGGUGGUGGGGGAGCUUGGAGUAUAACAAAUGAGCAUAUAAAGGCACAGAGAGGAGUUCCCGUCGUGGCUCAGUGGUUAACGAAUCCAACUAGGAACCGUGAGGUUGCAGGUUCGAUCCCUGGCCUUGCUCAGUGGGUUAAGGAUCUGGCGUUGCCGUGAGCUGUGGUGUAGGUUGCAGACGCGGCUCGGAUCCCACGUUGCUAUGGCUCUGGCGUAGGCCGGCAGCUACAGCUCCGAUUCCACCCCUAGCCUGGGAACCUCCAUAUGCCGCGGAUGCAGCCCUAGAAAAGGCAAAAAGACAAAAACAAAUAAAUAAAGGCACAGAGAUGUGACGGGGCACCUUGGAUCUGGGCACAGUAACAGGGGGCCUGACCUGUGUGCUACACAUCAGGGAAUGGAAAGACCUGAAACCAGAGAGGUAGCUGGGGGCCAAGGAGCAGGCCUUUAUGAUGUCAAGGGGGAGCCGCUGAGGGGCUCAGGGAGGAGAAUGUCGUGGUCAGGUAAGGUUCUUAGACAAUUUAGGUGGCAGUAUGGGGGCUGGGUGAGAAAGGAGAGAGAAGAUAAAUUCACCGAGGUAUUAAAGGAAAGGACAGAUUCUAGAGAGAUUUAAAAGGUAGAAUUGAAAGGUCCUUAUGAGAAAUUGUAAGAGCUCCGGCACAGGAAAUUAAAAGAGAAAGAAGGCAGACUGAAAAUCUAGUGAGGGCCCCAGGUAAAAUGACAAGAUAUCUUGCAUCAAGCAAAUCACACCUUGGCUUCUAUUUAUCAACUGCCUGGCCAAGAUGGCCUUUGUAAUGUUUGGGGACAGGAGGUCAAAAUCUUUUGGGACAAAUAAUUUUUUCCAGCUAACAGAUCUGGCUGGCUAGGCCAGUGUGCCCCUCCUGCCCCAAGUGUCUUAGCCCCAAAGCUAACUGUUUUGUCGAGGAAGAUGCCUUCCCCAGAUAGAGAAAGGUCACAUGUUGGUAAAGGAUUGACAAACAGCUGCGACAAGAUCUAUCUAGAUUCAUGCAUUACCACGAAGAAAUGCCUAUCUCAGAACACUCAGCUGCCUGUAGCAUACGAUCACAGACCACACAUGUGGCAAAUUCCCGGAAGAAUUGAUAUUUGAGCUGGGUCUUGAAGGAAAGCAAAGGAAAAACAAGUACACUAAAAUGAUAACCUUCCUGGUUUGGCCCUUUUUCAGAAGUACACCUAGAAUGUUCUAGAGUAGAACUGUCCAGUGGAGCUUUCUGCAAUGAUGAAAAUGUUUUUCAGUUCUAUCCAAUACGGUAGCCAUUAGUCACAUGUGGCUCCUGAACACUCUAAAUGUGGCGAAUGUGACUGAGGAACUGAUUUUUUAAUUUAAUUUUCAUGAAUUUGAAGGUAAAUAGCCACCUGUAAGCUAGUGGCUACCAUGUUGGACAGCACAGCUCUGAAGCCCACUUAGCAAACCUAAGUUUUUUUUUUUUUUUUUUUUUCUGGCCAUGCCUGCGGCAUAUGGACGUUCCCAGCUGAAUUAAACGGUAAAAUUGGGACCAGAAUCCAGAUCUCUAUUCCCAGGGUAGAGUUCUUGCUGCAACCAAGCAGCCCAUUUUUUUUUUUUUUUUUUUGGUCACUAUCAUCUAGUUAUCCCAGAAUGAUAGAACUUUUGGGCUAAUCAGCCUCAAGAUUCUCACAGACAGGAGGUUGCCAGGCUCUGUCCUUUUCAGCAGUCUAGAGUGUCUAACCAUUUAUAGAGAUCAGUUAUUUGAUUCUGUUUAGGAGUUUCUUUUUAAAAAGAAAUUGAGCUCAAAUGGUUCAAAAAAAAAAAAAGACAUGCACUAAAAAUUUCACUCCCACUUCUUCCCCCAUUGCUCUUACCCCUGCCUACAGGGAAUUUCUCUUGUUAGUUUCUUGUGAACCAUUACAAGAAAUUUGAAGUCACUCUCCUGAUUCUCAAAAUGAUCUGCUAGGGCGGGAAUAUUUAUUCACCCUCACUUCACCUAAAUCAAGAGUCAGGAGUUCCCGUCGUGGCGCAGUGGUUGACGAAUCCAACUAGGAGCCAUGAGGUUGCGGGUUUGAUCCCUGCCCUUGCUCACGGGCGUUGCCGUGAGCUGUGGUGUAGGUUGCAGAGGCGGCUCGGAUCCUGCGUUGCUGUGGCUCUGGCGUAGGCCGGUGGCUAUAGCUCCAAUUCGACCCCUAGCCUGGGAACCUCCAUAUGCCGAGGGAGUGGCCCAAGAAAUGGCAAAAAGACCAAAAAAAAAAAAAAGAGUCGGGGAGCCAAAGUAGAUGAAAGAAUGAAAGAAAAACUAAGUCUCGACUAAGCACUUUUUUUGUUGUGUUUUGUUUUGUUUUUAUGGCCGCACCUGUGGCAUAUGGAAGUUCCUGGGCUAGGGGUCAAGUCAGGCUAGGGGUCAAACUGGAACUACAGCUGCCAGCCUAUGCCAUAGCCACAGCCACACCAGAUCUGAGCUGCAUCUGUGACCCAUGCCCACAGCUUGUGGCAACGCUGGAUCCUUAACCCACUGAGCAAGGCCAGGGGUCGAACCCGAAUCCUCAUGGAUACUAGUCAGAUUUUUGACCAACUGAGCCACAAGAGGAACUUCCCAACUAAUGAUUUUCCACAAUGUCAUUACACCUUUAAAUAGCCCUGCAGUGUGUGAUAAGCGCUUAGCUUCCAGGCCCAGGAUGAAAGGUAUGAUGAGCCCAGAAGGCAGGCUGGGCCACUCAGCCAAGGGCUCCUUAAACCUCCUAACAGGACGGAGCCUGCCCAGGGAGGGACCACCCCAGGCUGAAGAGGGACCCAACAGGCAGUGUCCACUUUGAAACAGGACUUGUUUCCUCUUGUUCCUUCAUCCCAUACUUCCAAUCUGUCACAAAGCCUAGUCAAGUUUUCCUGUGAAAUAUUUAUCCUGUCUGUCCCUCCCUUUCUCUUUUCAUAGCAAAAAAAACUUGGUUCAGACUUUAGUUACCUCACACAUGGGUUACUGUCACAGGCUUUUUUUUUUUUGCUUUUUAGGGCUGCACCCGUGGCCUAUGGAGGAUCCCAGGCUAGGGGUUAAAUUGGAGCUACAGCUGCUGGUCUACACCACAGCUCACGGCAAUGCCAGAUCCUUAACACACCAAGUGAGGCCAGGGAUCGAAACUAGGGAUCCUAGUUGGGUUUGUUAACCACUGAGCCACGAAGGGAACUCCCUGUCACAGGUUUUUAAUUGGUCUCCUGGUGCACAAAGACCUUUAACCUAAAUUAGCAUUACCACAUCCAAUUUCCAUUUACAACAUGUGUGUAAAUCAUGCGGAUCCUUUAAAUAGCCUCGUUUUCAAUCUUUCAACUCCAUUCAGUGGGAACAACCCCCUCAAGGUGUUACUAAAAAGGGUCAUGCAAAGAACACAUACUCCAGCUAAGGAACAAGGCUGGUCAGCAGAAGGAAGAACUUGUUCAAAAAAUGGAUAAAUAAAUUGUGAUGUAUUCAUAUACUGGAAUAUUAUUCAUCCAUUAAAAAAACGAGCUACUGAUGCACAAUAACCCAGAUGAAUCUCAAACAUAUCAUGUUGAGGGAAAGAAGUCAGACACACAGCAGUACAAGUAGUAUGACUUCAUUCACAUGAAGUCCAAGAAUGGGCAAAAUCACCCCUUGGGGAUGUAAUUCAGAACAAGGCUUGCCUCUGAUGGGGCACUGUCGGGGAUACAGGGGGAUGUGACGGCAGUGCUUUCUACACUGAUUGGGGCGUUGUUACACAGGUAUACGCCUUUGUCAAAGCUCACCAACUAUCUGCUUAAUAUCUGUGCAUUUCACUGUAAUUAUUCCUCAAUUUAAAACAGAGAGAGAAGUAAAACAAAACAAAACAAAACAAAAAACAAAACAAACAAACCAAAAAAACAGAGAGAGAGAGGAGGAAAAGAGGGAGAGGGAGGCUGACCUGCUCAGGCUGUUGCAGAAAGAAGAAUCCGAUGUCCAGUGAAAAACAGUGGCUUCCUAGUAGUGCCUUGCCCUCUCUCAACAUCUCUCUAAAACACAUUUGAAGAAAUCAGGAAAUUAGGAAUCUGACAACUUCUGUACAAAAUCUGACAGAACUGUAAUGCCAGAGUCUCGGCAACAUCUCUGCUCUUACAGAGGGCACGGUGCAGCUGAAUGGAGAAAAUCUGACUGACCCAGUUUUGAGCUCCUAUCAUGCCCACUUCCAUUCCCUGAGCAGAUUGCCUCAGAAAAGGUAGCAGGGCCCUCGGCCCUCCCACACCAUCUGUCCUCUGUGCUUGGGGGACGUCCAGCCCUUUCGGAACAGAUCUCAGGCAGGCAGAGCUCCUUCUCCCAGUGUCCUCACCCAAUGUCGGGAGCCACCUCUGCCAGCUUGCAAGCUUUUUAAUUUAAAUUUCACUGGUUUCAGAGUAACACAAGGACAGAGUUUUCAAUGAAAACUAGGACUACUACAGAGCCUGUUCCCCAAAAUAAGGUUCUCCUGCCUGGCCCCGCCUACUUCACUCCUCCUUCUCCCAAUCACCAGCUGUGAUUCUUUUAACUGUGAUCUCUGGUGUUGGCCUCCUUUUACAUAAAUAAUGUGGUUAUGUUUCAUGUUUCUUGAACAUUAACUGUUAACUUCCUCCUGUGAAAAGUAAGGAUUUAGCUCUCUCAGACCCUCACUCCUGCACAGCUUUGAUUUCUCCCCCCUUAUUUCAGUGUUGGUUGUCCAUGUUAAUGUGACUACAUAAUGUUCCAUAAACAUACUGGAACUAUAUUUCUUGUACAACUUUAAAUUUUUCCUGGAGUUAAGAAUGACCCCCCCCCUUUUCUUUUUACUGUUUUCAUUUCUUUCUCUUGACUGACAGCACCGUGGGCCCUUGAACAACAUAGGGGUUAGCGUUGCUGAUCCUCCCCGCAGUUGAAAAUCCAUGUAUAACUUUGCAGUCAGUGCUCCACAGCCAAUGUACAUCCACAGACUCAAUGGACCUUGUAUCCUAUAGGAUUGUAGUUUGUGUUUACUGAAAAGCAAAAAAAAAAAAAAAAUCUA